This is a long non-coding RNA of Sycon ciliatum, 419 nucleotides long. RefSeq lists it as uncharacterized. NCBI's taxonomy places the organism in Eukaryota, Metazoa, Porifera, Calcarea, Leucosolenida, Sycettidae. The transcript is spliced from 3 exons. The record is from RefSeq and is a predicted model, not a curated record.
AUACAGUCCAAAUGACGUUCACGUGCCAUUGCGGUGUCGAACUUACAGGGGUAACACCCCUGUUCCAGCACCUGAGGCGGUGCGUCAAGCGCCGCCUCUUUCUCAUCAUAUAUUGGGACAAAUGUGGAGAAAGGCUGGUGGGAGGCCCAGCCGUGGUCGCCCACCUCACGGGUACGGCCCAUCUAACCCGUUACUGGGAGGGUCGGCAAGUCGGACUGCUGUUGCAGUCCGACUACCGGGACGCCGUAGAGCGUAUUAAGACCCUAUGAUGAUGUAUGAAGGUCUGGGGCUGCCGUCUUCAGGAUGUGCCACUUGUUUCAAAAUUAUUUGUAAGUACUUGUAACAGGCGUAGUGUAGUAACUGUGCGUGCAGUGUAGUAACAGUGUGUAGUGUUUUGUGAUGGUACUGUGCUAUAGCAG